UCUGGCGGCAAUGGCGUGAUGGACACACCCGUACCCAUCCCGAACACGGAAGUUAAGCAUCACAGCGGCGACGAUAGUCAGCGAUGGCCAAAAUAGCACGCUGCCAGUU
This 109-nucleotide ribosomal RNA is filed under the name Erysipelotrichaceae bacterium. The record is from RNAcentral. Lineage: Bacteria; Bacillati; Bacillota; Erysipelotrichia; Erysipelotrichales; Erysipelotrichaceae.